GGGGGCGACCUGGCUUCGACGCAGAUCGUGAAACCCAAGGUGCAUGCCGAGCAUACAGUUUAAUCCUCGUAAAACUUAACUGUCUUGUUAUAGAUGCAAACGACAACAUCUAUGGAGCUGCCGACAAAAAAGUCGCGUAAAGCUCUCCUUCUACCAGCUGUGCUUAUGCGGUUGGCUAGGGGGUCGAUUACAUAAGACCGCUUAACUGUUUGCUCUCGUCAGUUGGGCUAAAUAAACUGAGAGCUGGUUUGAUGGGUCCCCGCUAGAUCAGGACACAUUGAACGACAACGAUGGUCUAGAUAAGCAUGUAGACCCUUCGGCAUAACAUGUGCGGACGCGGGUUCAAUUCCCGCCGCCUCCACCA
RNAcentral lists this transfer-messenger RNA (364 nucleotides) under Candidatus Berkiella aquae. RNAcentral's name for it is "Berkiella aquae Standard tmRNA". It matches the Rfam family "transfer-messenger RNA". From Rfam's summary of the family: Bacterial tmRNA, also known as 10Sa RNA or SsrA, is named for its dual tRNA and mRNA-like properties. The record is from Rfam by way of RNAcentral. Lineage: Bacteria; Pseudomonadati; Pseudomonadota; Gammaproteobacteria; Candidatus Berkiellales; Candidatus Berkiellaceae.